CCUACGGGAGGCAGCAGUCGGGAAUAUUGCACAAUGGAGGAAACUCUGAUGCAGUGACGCCGCGUGCAGGAAGAAGGUUUUCGGAUUGUAAACUGCUUUAGACAGGGAAGAAACAAGACAGUACCUGUAGAAUAAGCUCCGGCUAACUACGUGCCAGCAGCCGCGGUAAUACGUAGGGAGCAAGCGUUAUCCGGAUUUAUUGGGUGUAAAGGGUGCGUAGACGGCUAAUCAAGUCAGAAGUGAAAACCCAGGGCUCAACUUUGGGACUGCUUUUGAAACUGAGUAGCUAGAGUGCAGGAGAGGUAAGCGGAAUUCCUAGUGUAGCGGUGAAAUGCGUAGAUAUUAGGAGGAACACCAGUGGCGAAGGCGGCUUACUGGACUGUAACUGACGUUGAGGCUCGAAAGCGUGGGGAGCAAACAGGAUUAGAUACCCUAGUAGUC
This 441-nucleotide ribosomal RNA is filed under the name uncultured bacterium. RNAcentral describes it as "partial 16S ribosomal RNA". It matches the Rfam family "Bacterial small subunit ribosomal RNA", at positions 338 to 795 of the family's 1533-position model. The record is from RNAcentral.